UAGGUUCUUGAGAAAGAAGAGUAGCAGUAGAAAAUACUGGGGGAAAGCACCGUGUCUUCGGCGUCACUGCGUUAGAAACCAGACAACUUUUAUCAAUCAAGGUGUAGAAAUCCUUAUUAAGGAAUCCAAGUAACAAGGUAUGUUACAUAUAAUUCUUACCUAUAUAAACGUCUUCCAGGGAAUUGUGGGAAUUGUGAUAAAGUGAAUAUUAGUUAACUUUUAUAAUAAUUAGAUAAUGAUGGGGAAGUUUGUAAUAAUUGCUGAAUUUGUAGAAUUAAAUGUAAAGUUGGACGUAAAAAUUGAGUAUCCAGUUAACUCAAGCAAGGAUUAACCAAUAAGGAUUUCUUUUAUAGCCAUGUUUUUAUACACAAUUUAUACUUAUCUUUCAGUUCCGUUUUUACAAGGAAGCACGAACUUGAAUCAAUAAUAUGUGUUAUUACGAGGGUUUAGUAGCGGACUACUAUUAGUUAUCUCUGACCAUUAUUAUUGCUUGGAGAUGAACACAGUAUAUCGAGCGCACAUGUUUAAUAGCGAAUCAAACUGUGAUGUGAAAAAAAAUAAAUGUAACUCUAAGUUUGAAUGUUAGGGAUAUUGAGAGUUGACUCCGACUAGCAUCAUUGACAUCGUUAAUUAAUAUUUUGGAUAGAUUGAGGUCAUUCAGGCUGUUUGGUUGGUGUUUUAGGCGUUGCGAGGUUGGCGAACUUCUCAUUAGCGAGGUAAGUGUUGCUUGCUUUUCAAACCCGUUUUGAAAGUAUAUUUUGUCUGCCUGGUCCAUGUGUUGGGACGAGCAUGCGCUUGGUAGAAUUGGUGGUCUUUGACCAGCCGCAAAUAUAUAUUAUUUUGUAAAAAAGUUAAAAUUAUUUAGUAAGUGAUUUGUGGGGUGGGGUGAUGUGGCGUAGCCUCGUGCUAUAGCGUUGGGGCGAUAUAAAUUAUUUCUUCGCUGCCGUAAUAUAUUUGAGGCAUUGCGUUUGCUGUCGUGGACUCAUUGGGGUAUUUGGUUAAUUUCCCUCGCUGCCAUUUAUGACAAGUCCUUAGUGUAGAUGGUGGUGCUAAGAUAUAUAGUGUUGUUGUUGAAUAAUUAUUUGGAGGCCAAAUACCUAUGCGGCCCCUUAAACUUGGCUCCAGUUUUCAUUUUAAUACUUUAACUAAGACCAGUACCUAUUGAACACUUAAACUUUAUCUUACUUAUACCUAUUAAACAUAUUUUUUAUAACCCUCAACAGACUUCAAAGCGUGAAGCUACUUGCCAUUGACCUAACAAAUGACACCAAUAAGAAAAAGACAAGUCAACAGAGAAAAAGUAGAGUAAAAAAUCUAGAAAGGAAAAAAGAGAAAGAGAAAUGAGUUUCAUUCCAUCUGCUUAAACGCUGAGUAUUGGGGAGAGUCUUCUAUGGAAUCUGAUUUCUUUCAAGCUCUGCAGCAGAUUGACGAUAUAUGAGAUUGGUCCAUUGACUAAAAAAUAAAUAUCUGAAGACAAAAAAUAAUUUGAAGUUCAGGAAAAAUUUGCAGAGCUUCAAGGUCAAAAAAUUCUCCAUCGUCGUCUUCUUCGUCAAUCUCAUACUUCACCAAUUUUCUUUGAUCCAAUUUCUGAUUAAUUUUAGUUAUCUCAUCAAUUCAACCUUCUGAGUCAACUUGUUCUUCGUCUCUGAAUUUUUAAAUCUCCGUUUCAUGUAAGGAGGGAAGGGAAAGGAUCGAGGCUGGUGGUGACAGUGGUGGGUAGGGAGGAGGAAGAAGGGGAAGGGUGGAGGGUGGUGUGCGGAGAAAGAAGAGCGAAGGAAAAUGGUCGCACCAAUGGCGGAGGAGCGGCAAUAAUAGAGUUAAUAAGGUGGUGAUAUAGUUUUUUUAGAAAAAGAAUUUUUUAUUUAAAUAAAAAAGAAGGAAAAAUAUAAUUUCAUAUCCAUUCACGCGCUUAAGAGUGGUGAAAUACAUAUUUUUUUNNNNNNNNNNNNNNNNNNNNNUUUUGCCAUGUCAGCUAUUGUGUUUAAUAGGCACAAGUAAGACAGGGUUUGAGUGUUCAAUAGGUACUGACUUUAGUUAAAGUGUCAAAAUAAAAACUGGAGCCAAGUUUAAGGGGCCGCAUAGAUAUUUGACCUUAUUUGGACCUUAUAGAAUAAUUAUAUGGUGAAAGAAUUUAUGUGCAUAUUAUUUCUGUGCUCGUUGUGUGUUUGUAUUUUCUAACAUUUGUUCAGAGGUAUUCAGAGUGGUGGGGAUCUUACUUGGUUAUAUUUACGUAUAACUCAUUCCUUACCUGCAUGUCCAUGCAGAUACUGUUGCUGAGGACGAGGCCAGUGGCUAACGAGUUUGUUGAGUGGAUUCUAUUGUUGAGGUGAACCGCCGCAUUCUUCGUGGAGGCCGUUAUUUCAGCUCUACCUAUCUUAUGUCUAUUAUUUUUUGGGGGGUUUACAUACCCGUCAGUUAAACUCUUAUUACUCUAUUAGAUGCUUCAUGGUUUUAGUAUGGAAUUUUGGUUAGAGACUUAUUAUUUGAGCACUCAUUAGACUUUAUUAAAAAAUUAUAAUUUUAGUUGGAUAACUAUUCUGC
This 2541-nucleotide long non-coding RNA is filed under the name Nicotiana tabacum (common tobacco). Its description in RNAcentral is "long non-coding RNA (NTAB_LNC017337)". Lineage: Eukaryota; Viridiplantae; Streptophyta; Magnoliopsida; Solanales; Solanaceae. The record is from RNAcentral.